ACUCCUACGGGAGGCAGCAGUGGGGAAUAUUGCACAAUGGGCGAAAGCCUGAUGCACGCCAUGCCGGCGUGUGUGAANAACGAGCCUUCGGGUUGUAAAGCACUUUCAGUUGUGAGGAAAGGGUGUUGGUUAAUAGCCUAAUAUNUCUGUGACGUGUAACAUACAGAAGAAGCACCGGCUAACUCC
This 186-nucleotide ribosomal RNA is filed under the name uncultured Gammaproteobacteria bacterium. RNAcentral describes it as "partial 16S ribosomal RNA". It matches the Rfam family "Bacterial small subunit ribosomal RNA", at positions 335 to 504 of the family's 1533-position model. Lineage: Bacteria; Pseudomonadati; Pseudomonadota; Gammaproteobacteria. The record is from RNAcentral.